AGGACGAACGCUGGCGGCGUGCUUAACACAUGCAAGUCGAGCGGAAAGGCCCUUCGGGGUACUCGAGCGGCGAACGGGUGAGUAACACGUGAGUAAUCUGCCCCUAGCUCUGGGAUAGCUCCGGGAAACCGGGAUUAAUACCAGAUACGACCACUUUAGACAUCUGUUGUGGUGGAAAGAAUUUCGGCUAGGGAUGAGCUCGCGGCCUAUCAGCUUGUUGGUGAGGUAACGGCUCACCAAGGCGACGACGGGUAGCCGGCCUGAGAGGGCGACCGGCCACACUGGGACUGAGACACGGCCCAGACUCCUACGGGAGGCAGCAGUGGGGAAUAUUGCGCAAUGGGCGAAAGCCUGACGCAGCGACGCCGCGUGGGGAUGAAGGCCUUCGGGUUGUAAACCCCUUUCAGCAGGGACGAAGCGAAAGUGACGGUACCUGCAGAGAAGCGCCGGCUACUACGCGCCAGCAGCCGC
This 471-nucleotide ribosomal RNA is filed under the name uncultured bacterium. RNAcentral's name for it is "SSU rRNA". It matches the Rfam family "Bacterial small subunit ribosomal RNA", at positions 26 to 518 of the family's 1533-position model. The record is from RNAcentral.